GAAGCUGCGGCAGCGACGCUGAUGCGUUGUUGGGUAGGGGAGCGUUCUGUAAGCCUGUGAAGGUGGCCUGUGAGGGUUGCUGGAGGUAUCAGAAGUGCGAAUGCUGACAUAAGUAACGAUAAAGCGGGUGAAAAGCCCGCUCGCCGGAAGACCAAGGGUUCCUGUCCAACGUUAAUCGGGGCAGGGUGAGUCGACCCCUAAGGCGAGGCCGAAAGGCGUAGUCGAUGGGAAACGGGUUAAUAUUCCCGUACUUGGUGUUACUGCGAAGGGGGGACGGAGAAGGCUAUGUUGGCCGGGCGACGGUUGUCCCGGUUUAAGCGUGUAGGCUGGUUUUCCAGGCAAAUCCGGAAAAUCAAGGCUGAGGCGUGACGACGAGGCACUACGGUGCUG
This 390-nucleotide ribosomal RNA is filed under the name Salmonella enterica subsp. enterica serovar Hadar. RNAcentral's name for it is "bacterial LSU rRNA". It matches the Rfam family "Bacterial large subunit ribosomal RNA", at positions 1196 to 1587 of the family's 2925-position model. The record is from RNAcentral. Lineage: Bacteria; Pseudomonadati; Pseudomonadota; Gammaproteobacteria; Enterobacterales; Enterobacteriaceae.